Long non-coding RNA from Trematomus bernacchii (emerald rockcod), 303 nucleotides. RefSeq lists it as uncharacterized. NCBI's taxonomy places the organism in Eukaryota, Metazoa, Chordata, Actinopteri, Perciformes, Nototheniidae. The transcript is spliced from 2 exons. The record is from RefSeq and is a predicted model, not a curated record.
UAUAUAAAACAUACAUAUUGUCUGGAUAUGACUUGUUUUUCUGAAAAUACUAACAGUGUUUUUAUUACAGUAGGUGAUUCACCCGGUCAAGCAGCGUGCACUGCGUCCAUGAUGUGCAAAGGGUUGAUCCGUGGAGAGUAACAGCAGACGCCUGUUAGCAUACCGAGGAUAAAAGACAUGAGGCCUCUGGAUUGAGUCACAAUCAUUUUUUUAAAGUUCUUAUCUCUGUUGACUUUGAGUGUUUUCUAGUGUUAGCAUAAUGUGGCUGCCCUAAUUCAUGUCAUUUUAAAAUCCUAUUAAAAA